AUCACGAUCGACUAAAAGGAAAGUCGCUCCAGAUAGGGGGGAUAUUGGUUCAAAUCCAAUUCGUGAGC
Molecule: transfer RNA, 68 nt
Filed under: Vitis riparia x Vitis cinerea
Lineage: Eukaryota; Viridiplantae; Streptophyta; Magnoliopsida; Vitales; Vitaceae
Description: trnnull-NNN
Source: RNAcentral